UACGAAGGGGGGCUAGCGUUGCUCGGAAUCACUGGGCGUAAAGCGCACGUAGGCGGCUUUCUAAGUCAGGGGUGAAAUCCUGGAGCUCAACUCCAGAACUGCCUUUGAUACUGGAGAGCUUGAGUCCGGGAGAGGUGAGUGGAACUCCGAGUGUAGAGGUGAAAUUCGUAGAGAUGUGGAGGAACACCAAUGGCGAAGGCAGCCUUCUGGGCCAACACUGACGCUCAUGCACGAAAAGCGUGGGGAGCAAACAGG
This 255-nucleotide ribosomal RNA is filed under the name uncultured bacterium. RNAcentral's name for it is "partial 16S ribosomal RNA". It matches the Rfam family "Bacterial small subunit ribosomal RNA", at positions 524 to 776 of the family's 1533-position model. The record is from RNAcentral.